Non-coding RNA from Oryza meridionalis, 197 nucleotides. Lineage: Eukaryota; Viridiplantae; Streptophyta; Magnoliopsida; Poales; Poaceae. The record is from Rfam.
AAUAAGUGUAGUUUUGUACUGUUCAUGUCCAACGUUUGACCAUUCAUCUUAUUUGAAAGUUUUGUUUGAUUAGUAGUUUUAUUGUAUUAGAUGAUAAAAGAUGAAUAGUACUAACUUUUUUUUUAUUUUUUUCAUAAAUUUUUCAAAUAAGACAGACGGUCAAACGUUGGACACGGAUUCUCACGGUUGCACUUAUU